AAAAUUUCAGCAAUUUUAUUAUGGGGUAUGUAUGUAUGUGUGUUUAGUAUUCUGCUUGGGGUUCUGAUUUUGAAUCUCUAUGGUUACAGUUUUAAUCCAGCUUGGAAACGUGUUAUUUCUUCAGAUAUUUUUUCAAUCCUCCUCGCCCCUUAAUUUUUUUUCUCCUUGGGACUCUAAUUUACACAAGACUACUUGAUAGUAUCCCACAUUUCAGUUGCCAGGUUUAUUGUUUUGGUCCCUUCUCUAUGUGCUGUUUGUAUAGUUUUUAUUGCUGUAUCUUCAGACUUACUGAUCUGUUGUACUGCAGUGUGUACAUGCUCUUCCUCCUGUCCAGUGUUUUCACUUCAAAUAUUGAAUUUCCCAUUUCUAGAAACUCCCAACUUUUUUAUGUCUCAUUUUCCUUAUGUUCCUGUUCCUUUAUAUUCUUGAACACCUUUGUGAUACCUGUUGUUAAGGUCUUUAUCUGCUAAUCCUGAGGUCUCUCUGAUUUGUGUCAAUUUUUUUUCUCUUCUGGUUAUGGGUCAUAUUUUCUUAUUUGCACAUGUGGUAAUUUUGGAUUGGAAACUGGACAUUGUGAAUUUAGUUUCUAAGUGCUUAAUUUUCGUUAUUGCUUUAAAGAGUGUUGGGUUUUGAUCUGGCACAAAGUGAAAUGAUUGUGGACUUCAAGGCUUGGUUUUCAUGGUCCAGAGGAGCCUGUGCUCUAGACCUAAUUUAAGAUUAUUACUAAGGCGUGAUCUUUCUUAGGACUCUACCCAAUGCGCUGCAUAUUCUGAAGUUGUACUCUGGGUCUCAGGCACAUGAACUCUUCCCACUCCUCUGAGUUCUAAGAAUUGUGUGGUCUAUUGGUUUCUGGUCAUGAAGCUGUGCCUUUUAUUCAUGUAGGUUAGGACUUGGUCAGACUCUAGGAGACAUUUCUGUAGAUCUGAGGCGCUUGCUCUGAGCAGCUCCCUCUUCUCCAGAACUCUGCUCAUUAGGUUCUAGCUUAGCAUUCCUGGACUCUGACCUCUGUGUCUUCAACUUGACCACUAGACCCUGGAUUGUCUCCUUGCCCUUUGGCCUGAAAGUUGCUCCUAGGCAGUAAGCUGGAGCAGCUGGUGCUCCCCUCACCUGUUUCCCUCACCCAAACACUGUCUUUGUCCUAUGUCCAUAAGCAUUUGUUUCAUGUAUAUUGUGUGGUUUCCUAGUUGUUUAGGGAAACUAAUUUCUAGGGAAAUUCUUACAGCCAUUACUCAUUCAUUUGUGGAAGGCAGUGGAAAUCUCCCCGUUUUUGAACUCACUUGUCAAUGAAAACCUGUGAAUCCCCUGGUUUCUAGUUCUCACAUUGGCUUGCUGAAUUUUCUAUUUGGGAUGGAUGAGUAUUUGACGGUAAUUUUUGGGUUACCUGGCUCAUAGGAUCAUAACAACUCCCUUUUUUCUUGCCUAUGCUGGUCCCACACAGGUAUUCUAGGUAUGAAGAGUUUGGCCCUAGGGUUUGAGGGACUACCUUAAUGUUGUCUGGGGGUCUCAUUUUCUAUCCCAGUUUGCUUUGCUUUUGUGAAAGGAUUAAAAACCAUUGUGGUUGCUAUUGCUCUUACCCUAACCAGAACUCUCUAUCUUUUAAAUUACCUUUCCAUUCAUAUCACUUGGGCGUGGCCCUUGAAGAUUGACAGUGUGGUAUUUCCAAUUGAUUAGCCUAUUUUGUGGUAACAAAAUUUGAGGGAUUUUGCUUUUACCCGAGGAAUAGUUAACACUUUAGCACUCUAAGUAUAAACUAUUACGGGUGGUAAUUUUACUUACCUCCAGAUUACCUUAAUUGAUUCUCUGUGGUGUAAGCCACAAACAGAGCUUAUGGCCAGGAGCCCACUAACCUACCACCAACCCACUGUGUGACACAGGACUAAUUUCUUCUCAUUGUUGAUGGUAGCAGACACCAUAAGGAAGACCAGGCCUGUCCUUGGGGGGAGCACAGAGCUUGUUAGGGAAGGCAGACAUGUAAGAAGAGCUAACUAGAACUAAGGGGUAGUUUUUAUCCCCUGAGAAGUAUAUACAAAGGUGCCUUCUUGGGUCUUUUCUCAUCUGAAUAAACAGAAGCACAGUUCUCAUACUGUUGUCCAAAGGCUUGGAUUGUACAGGAUGACAUGGAGGCUGAGGGGCAGGGCUGUGGCCUCUAUAUCCUUACUUCAAGCACAGUCGAUCCACCUUUUCCGAUUUUAUACAUUAUGAUCUAAUAUUUAUUUCAAAACAGGGGUUUUGCUGCUGAAAAAUGAAGGAUGAGCAGGUAGAAGAACAGGGGUCCACAUUUCCUUGUGCAUGCAGCCUCCUGCGCUCCCCCUCACAGGAAGAACAACAAAUAUUCAUGAACAAGAAGCCACUGAGCAAAUCCUAGAAGACAGGAAUGUGGCUGAAGCACCCCCUGCCCGACCAAAGAGACCAACUCCUUGUACCAGAAGGAUAAGCUGGAAGGCUACAUGCUGACUGCAUGGCCCCCACCCAGGUUGACUCAACACCACGUCCAACUUCUGUUUUUCCAGGGGGAAAGGAGCACAGGGGUGACAUCCAGUCACUCAGCGCUGUAAGUCAUGGCCUCGUGGGAUCCCUCAUUCUGGGCUCUGCCCCAUGGGGACUGCAGGCACAUCUGUGGGUUUCAACUACUGGGAAUCUGAUGGUGACUAAGUGGGAUUCUUAAGUGGUCAACACCACAGGGGAGGCACGGUCCACCUCCCGGUCACCAGGUCCAAGUGAACCCAACUGCCCUCUUCCUCCUCCUCUAAGUCCGAGUCUAUGCCAAUGGCGUGAAUAAAUCAUUGGUCCCAAGUGAGAUAGAAUCGUCAUGCCCAUGCACUGGGUGGGCUUCCCGGAACCGGCACUGUGUUAUUAACAGACCAAGUUCCUAGCUGCAGAGCCCAAGCAGUAGUCCCAACCAGUAUCUCUGCUCAUCUACAGCACCAAGCUGGGGGUCCAGUCUGCCCCAGGGAAUGCUCUACAGUGCAGUUCUGCCAGCUCUUGAACCUGGUCUGCCCCCACCCAGGCAGAAAGGCUGAGUCACAGCCCCACUUGCUGCAGUUCCUGGCUCUUGGUCUCUCAUCCAGAAAGCCAAUUUACAGACUCCUGUAGAGAGCCCAGUCCUGACUGUAGGAAGCCUGACCGGAGAAUCCAGGUCACAGUGACACCCACUAGCUUCACUUGGGCAGAGAACUCAAGUCAGCAGUCCUACCUGCUGUUCUCACCCAGUGGAAUACCCUCUAUGCUCAAAACUCAAACAGUUGCUUCACUAAAAAACAGACCCUAACAGCAGCCACACCUGUCCAAGGACCAGGAAUGACCAGAAACCCAACUGCGCUGACCGGUCAAACUGUCUGCCAAAGUGAGCCUGCAACGUUUGGAAGAAGGGACCACUUAACUCCAAUGCAGAUACCAACCCGAGGAUCACAGAAAGUCAGGUAAAUGUGACACCACCAAAUGAAACUAAUAGAGCUCUACAAUGGACUCUAAAGACAGGAAGACCUAUGAACUGCCAAGAGGCCCUAAAUAAACAGGGCUACAAAAGACAUGUCAGAAUCAUCAAAAGUCAAAGAAUUUUAAGAGCAGCUAGAAAAAAAAAAGGUUACAUAUAAGGGAACCCCCAUAAGACUGUGAGAUUUCUCAAUAGAAGCUUUUCAGGCCAGAAGAAAAUGGGAUGACACAAAAUACUCAAAGCAAGAAAAACUAUUAACCAAGACUACUCUACCAGGCAAAAGUGUCCUUCAGCAAUGGAUAGACUUUCUUGGACAAACAAAAGCAGAGGGAACUCAUCACCGCUACAUCUGCCUUACAAGAAAUGCUAAAGGGAGUUGAGUAUAAAUAAAAGGAUGCUCAUUAACACUAUACAAGGCAGCAUAAAACUUACUGGUAAUGAUAAAUAAAGUUGGAUUCUGUAAUAUGGUGAUGUUAGUGCAUAAUUCACUUCUAGCUCUAGUUUAAAAGAUAAUGUAGUAAGAAAUAACCAUUGUAGUUAAAUAACCAUAAUUACAAUAACCUAUUAGUUACACAUUAUAAAAUAUAUAAAUUGUAACAUCAAUAACCUAAAAUGUGAGGGGGAGAAGUGUUCAGAUGUUAUUUUAAAACAGAGUGUUUUAAAAUGUCUUAUGUAAACCUUAUAGCCACAAGGGAAAAACCUGUGGUAAUAUUAGACCAAAGAACAUGACAAGUCAAAGCAUACUGAUACCAUAAAACUUCAAAACACAAAAAAAAAGAAGGAACAAUGUAUCAAGAAAACCACAAGAAAAUAAACAAAAUGGCAAUUGUGUAAGGCCUUAUUAAUUAAUACUUACUUCAAAUGUAAAUGGUUUAAACUCUCCCGGGGAGACAACACCUGGUUGAAUGAAUAAAAAAAAACCAAAACACAAGAUCCAACAAUAUGCUU
Long non-coding RNA from Leopardus geoffroyi (Geoffroy's cat), 4381 nucleotides. RefSeq lists it as uncharacterized. The transcript is spliced from 2 exons. The record is from RefSeq and is a predicted model, not a curated record. Lineage: Eukaryota; Metazoa; Chordata; Mammalia; Carnivora; Felidae.